Cucurbita maxima (winter squash) is the source of this 254-nucleotide long non-coding RNA. RefSeq lists it as uncharacterized. The transcript has 2 exons. The record is from RefSeq and is a predicted model, not a curated record. Lineage: Eukaryota; Viridiplantae; Streptophyta; Magnoliopsida; Cucurbitales; Cucurbitaceae.
GGCUCUAAUUAAAGAAAGGGAAGGGAAGGGAAGGGAAGGGAAGGGGCAAAUUUUGCAGCACAGAUCUGGCGAUUAGAGACAAGUGCAAGAUUUUGUGAGAUUUAUGGGGUUUGCUUGAGGGUGGGCCUUUGGCGAACCAAUCGUCCUUUCUUUGAGAAAACAGGCGGAUCGCAUCUAGAUCUCUAAUCUCAGGGUCUGGACCUAUCGAGCUUGGGCUGCCAUUCUUUGAAGUGGGCCAGCCCAAUAAUGGCUUG